GAGUCGGUUCCUGUUUCCUCUCUGAUUCUGACUGUGAAGUGAUCUCCUCAGCUCUGAAGUCUGGCCACUCCCAUCUGAAACAUCUGCACUUGAGUAACAACAACCUGCAGGAUUCAUCAGUGGAGAUUGUGUGUGCUGGACUGGAGAGUGCAAACUGUAAACUGGAGACUCUGAGGUUGAGUCGCUGCAGGUUGUCAGUGAUCAGCUGUUCUUCUCUGGUCUCAGCUCUGAAGUCCAACCUCUCCAACCUGAAAGAGCUCCACCUGCGUUGCAACUGGCUACAGGAUCCAGAUGUGCAGCAGCUGGUUGCUCUUCAGCAGAGUCCAUUCUGCAGCCUGCAGACUCUGAGGUCAAGUUGAGAGCAGAGAGGAGACUGUGUCCUGAAGAUCGACUGAGAGCAGAGCUUCAUCCAGCAGUGAGUGACGGAGGAACCACCAGAAGAUCUGCAGUGUGAAGGGCUGUGAGAGUCCAGCAUCGAACCAGGUUUUCUAUGGAUGUGACACACUGGUUAACAGGAGAAUUUCAAACUGGCCCUCCAUGUUAAGCCAUCUUUCCA
Salarias fasciatus (jewelled blenny) is the source of this 556-nucleotide long non-coding RNA. RefSeq lists it as uncharacterized. NCBI's taxonomy places the organism in Eukaryota, Metazoa, Chordata, Actinopteri, Blenniiformes, Blenniidae. The record is from RefSeq and is a predicted model, not a curated record. The transcript has 3 exons.